UUCUGGCUCAGCCGGCCGCCUCAACGUGGUGACAGGGUGCAGUACUCUUUGCUAGGGAGGAAGCCAAGCGCCUG
Molecule: non-coding RNA, 74 nt
Filed under: Trypanosoma cruzi strain CL Brener
Lineage: Eukaryota; Euglenozoa; Kinetoplastea; Trypanosomatida; Trypanosomatidae
Source: RNAcentral